GCCCCCGUAGUGUAAUGGACAACAUGUCUGCCUUCGAAGCAGAAGACUGAGGGUUCGAGUCCUUCCGGGGGCACCA
This 76-nucleotide transfer RNA is filed under the name Candidatus Wildermuthbacteria bacterium. Its description in RNAcentral is "tRNA-Arg". It matches the Rfam family "tRNA". From Rfam's summary of the family: Transfer RNA (tRNA) molecules are approximately 80 nucleotides in length. The record is from RNAcentral. Lineage: Bacteria; Candidatus Wildermuthiibacteriota.